RNAcentral lists this ribosomal RNA (253 nucleotides) under uncultured bacterium. RNAcentral describes it as "partial 16S ribosomal RNA". It matches the Rfam family "Bacterial small subunit ribosomal RNA", at positions 524 to 776 of the family's 1533-position model. The record is from RNAcentral.
UACAGGGGGUGCAAGCGUUACUCGGAAUUAUUGGGCGUAAAGAGCGCGUAGGCGGCUUCGUAAGUCUGAUGUGAAAUCCCUGGGCUCAACUCAGGAAGCGCAUUGGAUACUGCGAAGCUGGAGUACUGGAGAGGAGAGUGGAAUUCCUGGUGUAGAGGUGAAAUUCGUAGAUAUCAGGAGGAACAACAGAGGCGAAGGCGGCUCUCUGGACAGUAACUGACGCUGAGGCGCGAAAGCGUGGGGAGCAAACAGG